RNAcentral lists this transfer RNA (77 nucleotides) under Brevibacterium yomogidense. Its description in RNAcentral is "tRNA-Val". It matches the Rfam family "tRNA". From Rfam's summary of the family: Transfer RNA (tRNA) molecules are approximately 80 nucleotides in length. Their secondary structure includes four short double-helical elements and three loops (D, anti-codon, and T loops). Further hydrogen bonds mediate the characteristic L-shaped molecular structure. tRNAs have two regions of fundamental functional importance: the anti-codon, which is responsible for specific mRNA codon recognition, and the 3' end, to which the tRNAs corresponding amino acid is attached (by aminoacyl-tRNA synthetases). tRNAs cope with the degeneracy of the genetic code in two manners: having more than one tRNA (with a specific anti-codon) for a particular amino acid; and 'wobble' base-pairing, i.e. permitting non-standard base-pairing at the 3rd anti-codon position. The record is from RNAcentral. RNAcentral also lists the same sequence under 2 other names. Lineage: Bacteria; Bacillati; Actinomycetota; Actinomycetes; Micrococcales; Brevibacteriaceae.
GGGCCUAUAGCUCAGUUGGUCAGAGCACCUCGUUUACACCGAGGGGGCCGGGGGUUCGAGUCCCUCUGGGCCCACCA